GACCCGAUCCAAUUAACCCUUCUCUCAUACGCUACCCUGAAACCCUAGAUUCACAUCUACAUCUUCCUCUUCACCUUCACGCUUCUUUUUCCUCCAAUCCCGUGCUUCUCUCUACACAAACCUUAAUCAAAAAAUUCCAUCCUCUCUUACAAUCAAAGCUUCGAAGUUUAAGAUCUUCCACCAUGUGAAGUUCAUUGCUUCUCAAUUUUUAGUCUUCUACUUUUUGUUCCACGCUCAUUCCCUUCUUCAUACUCUGAAACCCUAGACCCUUCUCCCUCACGUUUCCUUAACGACUCCGAAUUGUUAGGUGGAUUCUGGCCAGGUGGGUAUGAAGGGAAGUGGCAAAUGUCCAGUGACUGUUGGCGGUGGUGAUGGCUGCCGGCACUGCCGGAUGGUGGUGGCAGAUGGUAGUAACAACAACAACCUGGACAAAUGUAUGAGGACAAUUUUGAUGAAGCCCAGGUGCAGAGGACCUUAAAAAGAGGCAUUAAUGAAGGAAACGACUCAGUGGAAGAGUUGAACAAUGAACAUCCUGUUCAGAAAAAUCAUGAGAGGGCACGUAAAAGAUUGAAGCCAUUAGUUCUCGAUGAUGCCGAACAGAAACUGAAGGACCUUUAUGAGAAAUAUAAGGAGUUUCCAGAUUGCAGUCAACGCAUAGUAGGAGAACUUAAUAUGGAAGUUUCACCCGCUCAGGUUUCCAGUAAGCUUAAAAAGAUGGGGUUCAAAUGACCGUCAAAGAGAAGAGUGGGUGACACAAAUGUCUCAAGUGUUAAUGGUGAAGCAGUGGAGGCAUCAGCACAAUGAAAAAGAGGACGUCUAUUUAGUGAAGAGCAAGAGAUCAAGAUUAAAACCUUAUUUGAGCAGUUUAAGCGCUUAACAAAGAUGUGGCAACUGGGGUACUUUAUGGUGUACUGAAGGCAUUUGGAAUCGUCACAGGUUCUAUUACUAACUCGAAACCUACCAAAAAGUCAAAAACUUGAUAUAUCUUGAUGAAAUUUUACAGACGAAGUUUGUGAUGUGAGUGAAGUGGUUGGGAGAAACGUGAUAUCCACAACCUGAACUAUCACAACGGACUUUGUUUCACACAAGUUAAAGAAUACAAGUUUUUGUCUUCGCUAAAUCAUCUACAAUCCAGAGGAUGUUCUUUAUCUUCAAGUUAUUUAACCUUGAAUCAUCUACGUUCCAACCAUGUUCUCUGUCUCGAUUUCAAGGGCGUCACUGAUUUGUGUUUUGUUUGUUCUUCGAUACACGAAUCGCUUAAUUUUGGGAUUAGGGUCCAGUGACGACGAUUUUUUUUCUGGCUUUCUCUGCGUUGGAUCUAGGUGAGGUGAUUAUGGCUGAAGGUGGAUUUCAACACAUGAAGGCCAAUAGUGUUACAUCGGAAACCUCUGGCGUUUCAGAUGAUAUUUGAUCUUCUACUAGAUGAGGUUGAUGAGACGUUCAAACCGUCGUGGCUCUCAUGCUAAUUCCUUUGAUAAGCUUGAUAAGAUUAGGCAAGGGACGCAUAGCAAAUAAUGAUAAGGAACUGCUUAAUUUGUCUCAUUUUAUGUAUAAUGUGUCUACAAAUUAAUGUUGUUUAAUUGUUUUUCCAUUUGUACAUGCUAUUAGAGAUUUAAAGAAAAAAGUACCAGAGAUGGGACCCUGGUUAACUACUUGAGUCUGCUUUUUAUUGGAUAUGGAAAAUUGGGUGGAUGACCUAUUUUGGUAAAGCGGGUUCAAGUCAAAAUGAGUAUUUAUAUUGAAAGUCCAAAUAGAACCAUGUUUGGUUGCCACCCAGUGUAGUCCGUAUCCCUCUUUUCUUAUUUUCAGACAUGCCUAGCUAGGUUGAUUGAAAUUAACAUAUUGCCCAAUCCAUCCCAUAGCCUUUUAUUAAAAGUCCAAAUAUACCCAUUUAAGUGUAUGCAUAAAAAUUGGCAUGUAUAAUUUUUUUUAUAAAAAUUAAUAACUUUUACAAC
This is a long non-coding RNA of Helianthus annuus (common sunflower), 1955 nucleotides long. RefSeq lists it as uncharacterized. Lineage: Eukaryota; Viridiplantae; Streptophyta; Magnoliopsida; Asterales; Asteraceae. The record is from RefSeq and is a predicted model, not a curated record. The transcript is spliced from 10 exons.